This 292-nucleotide ribosomal RNA is filed under the name uncultured bacterium. Its description in RNAcentral is "partial 16S ribosomal RNA". It matches the Rfam family "Bacterial small subunit ribosomal RNA", at positions 30 to 306 of the family's 1533-position model. The record is from RNAcentral.
AGCGAACGCUGGCGGCGUGCUUAACACAUGCAAGUCGCGCGGGAAAGAGACUUUCGGGUCUUGAGUAGAGCGGCGGACGGGUGCGUAAGACGCGGGUGACCUAUCCGAGAGGCGGGGAUAACCCAGCGAAAGCGGGGCUAAUACCGGAUGAGCCCCCAGGCGGAAACGCGCGGGGCGAAAGAUGCUACUCGAUAGUGGCAUGUCCUCACGGAGGGGCCCACGUCCUAUCAGCUUAGGGUUGUGGUAACGGCGCACCAAGGCGAAGACGGUAGCUGGUCUGAGAGGAUGGCCA